Long non-coding RNA from Hypanus sabinus (Atlantic stingray), 473 nucleotides. RefSeq lists it as uncharacterized. The transcript is spliced from 3 exons. The record is from RefSeq and is a predicted model, not a curated record. NCBI's taxonomy places the organism in Eukaryota, Metazoa, Chordata, Chondrichthyes, Myliobatiformes, Dasyatidae.
CUCCCCUCCACUGAGCACAUCCACAUGGAAUGUUGUCGCUGGAAAGCAGCAUCCAUCAUCACAGACCCCCAACCACACAGGUCGUGCUCUCUUCUCACAGCUGCCAUCAGGAAAAAGAUGUCCAGGAUUGGCAGGUUUCCUGCUUUUCAAUGUCUGAAAAUAUAUUGACCUGGAAUUUGUGGUCAACAAUAUGGCAACACUGGCCUCACAGGACACUGCUCACAAAAAUCUCACAGCAUCUGAAUCAUGGACUUCAUCUGUCGUUGCUACACAUUGGGACAAGACGUUUCCUGAGAUGCCAUACCAUGAGAAGCCCAUUAAGUUAAAGAAUUCCACAAGACAACAGAUGCUCUGGUUUCCUGCCUCAUCCCAAAGGUGGAUGGGAACGCUAUGUUGAUUGGCCACUACCCCGGGGGUAAGAACAUAGAAGAAUCUGUGGGGAAUUUAGAAAUGUGCAAAGAGUGAAAUGCAAU